UUUCAAUUGAAUGUUUAUCGUGAGAAAGGUUUGCCUGUAAGUAUUUGACGCUAAUAAUACAUCUGCUGAUUAAGUGGGCUGUCUACCAUGGGGCCCGGCUGAGCAUCCACAGAACUCAACAGUCCAGCCAGCGACCACGUGACUGCAGAUCCUGCUCCGAUCCGCCUGACUGACUUCCACUAAAAUUCAACUGGCACCACAUUCUACCAACGUAACCCGGAGACCGCCCCCCCGCCCGCCCCCCCCCCGUACCGACAAAGACGAGGGAUGAAAGCAGAGCUCACAGUUUAAAGGCACGUUCGCAUUCCUCGCGACUGCGUAGAAGGUUCAACUAACGAAGACCUGUCCUCCUACCUCUCUGGCCAACCUCUCCUUCCGCUCCUGGACCUUGUGCAGCAGGUCCUUCUGUUGAGGGGACAGCUUGAAGGUGGCCUGGCUGGGCGUCCCGGUGGCCGACUGCACCCGACGUCUGGUGCCCCUCCUGUGGACGCCAGUCUGGGUGUGGCAGGCGGAGCUGGGCCUUCCUCCGGGUGGGGCCGGAGGUCUCGGCACCCGGUGGGGAUCAACUUUGUGGCCGGCAGAAGAAGAAGAUCCGGCGUGAGAAAGCGGCGAGGAGCAGGACCCGAGGCUCUUCCCGUUGUGCGCGAUAGGAGGAAGGAGGACCUGGUUUUCAACCUCUUUCAGGCUGACAAGAUCGAACCUGCCAUCUUUCUCCACAAGAACCCGUCCCUCUUUGAGGCCUUCUUCUCCAGGGGACAGCUUGAGCUCGGAGAGCUUGCCUGAAACCUCCGUCUCCGCAUCUUUGCUGGCAUCUCCUCUAUCCGCUUGGUCACCGUUUCCAAACUGCAACGGAGGCACCACCAAGGUCACCAGCGUCUCCUUGAACUGCAGCCGCCUCCUCCGACUCAAAUCUGGAGCGUCUUGAUCCUUCAGCUGUCGGUUGGCUUGUUGGAUCUUCUCCAGGAUGUACUUUUUCUCCUCAUCGGUCUGCGCCUCCACGCCCAACGCCAAGGACUUACCAGGACCGUCUCCGUCUGAGUCGUACUCCAGUGGUUCCAUAGGUGAGGGCCACCUGUCUUCAUCCUCCUCCAGGUCUUCUGUUUGCUUGCUUCUCUCCUCCCCUUGAUGGUGGUUCUUCUUACCUUUCAUGCGAUGGUGUUUCUCAUCCUCUGCCAGCUCUUUGUCAAUGUCUGCCUCGAUGUCCUCGUAGUCAGGACCCUGCGUGGUCAAAGGAUGCCUUUGUUUUAGGGCUCCCAAGUCCAGACCUUUGAAAUCCACCUUUCCCCCAUUACAUAAUGACUAGAUAGGACAGCACGACUUUAGUCUAUGUAGUCAUGCUCAAAGACUAGAUGCAGGCUAUGUCAGUUCAUGCUCAAAUACUAGGUAGGACAGAUCUAGUCCCGUCCUAGGUUCACCUAUUUAGUCAUGGUAAAAUACUAGAUAGGACAGCCCUUGUCUAGUCGUCGUCUAUUUAGUCUUUAGUGCAGGCUACAUCAGUUCAUGCUCAAAUAUUAGGUAGGACAGAUCUAGUCUCAACCUAAAUGUAUUUAGUCAUGGUAAAAUACUAGAUAGGACAGCCCUCGUCUAGUCCUAGUCUAUUUAGUCUUUAGUGCAGGCUACAUCAGUUCAUGCUCAAAUACUAGGUAGGACAGAUCUAGUCCCGUCCUAGGUUCAUCUAUUUAGUCAUGGUAAAAUACUAGAUAGGACAGCCCUUGUCUAGUCGUCGUCUAUUUAGUCUUUAGUGCAGGCUACAUCAGAUACUCAAAUACUAGGUAGGACAGAUCUAGUCUCGUCCUAGGUUAAUGUAUUUAGUCAUGGUAAAAUACUAGAUAGGACAGCCCUCGUCUAGUCCUAGUCUAUUUAGUCUUUAGUGCAGGCUACAUCAGAUACUCAAAUACUAGGUAGGAAAGAUCUAGUCUCAACCUAGGUUAAUGUAUUUAGUCAUGGUAAAAUGCUAGAUAGGACAGCCCUCGUCUAGUCGUCAUCUAUUUAGUCAUUAGUGCAGGCUACAUCAGUUCAUGCUCAAAUACUAGGUAGGACAGAUCUAGUCUCGUCCUAGAUUAAUGUAUUUAGUCAUGGUAAAAUACUAGAUAGGACAGCCCUCGUCUAGUCCUAGUCUAGUUAGUCUUUAGUGCAGGCUACAUCAGUUCAUGCUCAAAUACUAGGUAGGACAGAUCUAGUCUCGUCCUAGGUUCAUCUAUUUAGUCAUGGUAAAAUGCUAGAUAGGACAGCCCUCGUCUAGUCCUAGUCUAGUUAGUCUUUAGUGCAGGCUACAUCAGUUCAUGCUCAAAUACUAGGUAGGACAGAUCUAGUCCCGUCCUAGGUUCAUCUAUUUAGUCAUGGUAAAAUACUAGAUAGGACAGCCCUUGUCUAGUCGUCGUCUAUUUAGUCUUUAGUGCAGGCUACAUCAGUUCAUGCUCAAAUACUAGGUAGGACAGAUCUAGUCCCGUCCUAGGUUCAUCUAUUUAGUCAUGGUAAAAUACUAGCUAGGACAGCCCUUGUCUAGUCGUCGUGUAUUUAGUCUUUAGUGCAGGCUACAUCAGUUUAUGCUCAAAUACUCGGUAGGACAGAUCUAGUCCCGUCCUAGGUUAAUCUAUUUAGUCAUGGUAAAAUACUAGAUAGGACAACCCUCGUCUAGUCCGAGUCUAUUUAGUCUUUAGUGCAGGCUACAUCAGAUACUCAAAUACUAGGUAGGACAGAUCUAGUCUCGUCCAAGGUUAAUGUAUUUAGUCAUGGUAAAAUGCUAGAUAGGACAGCCCUCGUCUAGUCCUAGUCUAUUUAGUCUUUAGUGCAGGCUACAUCAGUUCAUGCUCAAAUACUAGGUAGGACAGAUCUAGUCCCGUCCUAGGUUAAUCUAUUUAGUCAUGGUAAAAUACUAGAUAGGACAGCCCUCGUCUACUCCUAGUCUAGUUAGUCUUCAGUGCGGGCUACAUCAGUUCAUGCUCAAAUACUAGGUAGGACAGAUCUAGUCUCGUCCUAGGUUAAUCUAUUUAGUCAUGGUAAAAUACUAGAUAGGACAGCCCUCGUCUAGUCCGAGUCUAUUUAGUCUUUAGUGCAGGCUACAUCAGAUACUCUAAUACUAGGUAGGACAGAUCUAGUCUCGUCCAAGGUUAAUGUAUUUAGUCAUGGUAAAAUACUAGAUAGGACAGCCCUCGUCUAGUCCUAGUCGAUUUAGUCUUUAGUGCAGGCUACAUCAGAUACUCAAAUACUAGGUAGGACAGAUCUAGUCUCGUCCAAGGUUAAUGUAUUUAGUCAUGGUAAAAUACUAGAUAGGACAGCCCUCGUCUAGUCCUAGUCUAUUUAGUCUUUAGUGCAGGCUACAUCAGUUCAUGCUGAAAUACUAGAUAGGACAGAUCUAUUGUAGUCUUAGGUUAUUCUAUCUAGUCAACUCCAACAGUCCUAUCCAGUAUUUUAGCAUUAGUCCUAGUGUCAUCUAUGUAGCUUUUAUUGCACGCUACAUCAGUUGAUGCUGAAAGACUUUCCCUCACCUGCUCCUCGCUCCGACUUUCCUCACUGAUCAGCCAGUCUAGAUCUUUCUCAAAGUCAUCCUCGUACUCCUCCUGGGUCUUGGACCAAUCCGCUUCACUCAUCAUCUGCCGCAAGACCACAUCCACAUCCAGGAGCGUGUUUGAGUUAGGCGAGCAAGAACCUCCAGCUAGCUUGCUAGCUAGCUAGCUCGCUAUCGAGAUCAUCAACUCAAUUCAAAUGAAAUCAAUUCAGUCAAUAAAAUACAAAUACAUGGAACAUAAAAUAAAUAAUACACUGUAAAUAUAUUAUUCAUUAAAUAUAUUGUUUAUUACUUAACAUAAUUUUAAUUAUCGUGAACAUUUUGUUUUUUAAUGACUAUAAUAGUACAUAAAAAUAAUAUAACAAUGUAUAAAAGAAGGUUAAAUUAAUUCAUUAAUAUAGUCAAAACAAAUAAAUAAAAAAUACCAUAUUAACUAAAUGAAAUAUAUUAUAAACUACAUUAAUUAACAUUAUUUAAAUUAGUUAGAUUGUGUUUUUUAAUAUUUUUUCAGCACCGAUAUUAUAAAUGAAAAUUUGACAUACUUACAUUAUUCAUGGAUAUAAUAUCAACGAAAUAC
Molecule: non-coding RNA, 4085 nt
Organism: Doryrhamphus excisus (bluestripe pipefish)
Lineage: Eukaryota; Metazoa; Chordata; Actinopteri; Syngnathiformes; Syngnathidae
Source: RefSeq, a predicted model, not a curated record